GCUAGGGUCAUUUGGAAUGACAUUCUAUUUGUUGUAAAUAUAGUGAGCAGGAAGUUGCAAUCAAUAUCCAUGUGCAUUGAGUCUGCCUUAACACAAAUAGAAGGUAUGAGGAAUUACUUUGGCACUUACAGAAAUGAAGGGUUUGCUUCUGGUGUGAUCAUUGCCAAAGAAAUCGCAUCUAAAACGGGUGUAGAGUCAUCAUUUCUAGUAAAGCGCCAUGCUCCAAGGAAGAGGCAAUUUGAUUAAACUGACUGCGAUGAAGCAAUCUUGCAAGCUCAGAAGGCUUUUGAAGUUUUUUUUUUGUUAUGGUUGAUGUGGCAACCAAUUCAUUGA
RNAcentral lists this ribosomal RNA (333 nucleotides) under Triticum aestivum (bread wheat). RNAcentral's name for it is "partial small subunit ribosomal RNA". Lineage: Eukaryota; Viridiplantae; Streptophyta; Magnoliopsida; Poales; Poaceae. The record is from RNAcentral.